This is a long non-coding RNA of Oncorhynchus tshawytscha (Chinook salmon), 359 nucleotides long. The record is from Ensembl. NCBI's taxonomy places the organism in Eukaryota, Metazoa, Chordata, Actinopteri, Salmoniformes, Salmonidae.
AAAACACUUUCAUCACAAUGCAAAGAAUGAGCUCGGAGAUGAUACUUUGCAAAUGUCUAUUUUCCACAACGAGGGAACAAUGAGUCAUCUGGCUGACUUUGAGGUGAUCAAUGAGCUAGCAGACACAUUUUGAGUUUUACACCCAGCCAUCACUCCGGCUGGUGCCUGGGAGAAUUCACUGGAGGUCCGACCGAACGGCCCCGGGAUCUAGAGUCCGGGGUCCAGAUUCCAGGGUCAAGAGUCCAGGGUCCAGGGUCAAGGGUCCAGGGUCAAGAGUCCAUGUCCAGAGUCCAGGUCCAGAGCCAAAAUCUUCCUGAGAUAUUUCAGCAAUAUCUAGAUUAAUUCAUAUUGUUUUUGUG